This 459-nucleotide ribosomal RNA is filed under the name uncultured bacterium. RNAcentral describes it as "partial 16S ribosomal RNA". It matches the Rfam family "Bacterial small subunit ribosomal RNA", at positions 338 to 795 of the family's 1533-position model. The record is from RNAcentral.
CCUACGGGAGGCAGCAGUGAGGAAUAUUGGUCAAUGGGCGGAAGCCUGAACCAGCCAAGUAGCGUGCGGGAUGAAGGCCCUACGGGUCGUAAACCGCUUUUGCACGGGGAUAACACCCUCCACUUGUGGAGGUCUGCAUGUACCGUGCGAAUAAGGGCCGGCUAAUUCCGUGCCAGCAGUCGCGGUAAUACGGAAGGCCCGAGCGUUAUCCGGAUUCAUUGGGUUUAAAGGGAGCGUAGGCGGGCGUUCAAGUCAGCUGUAAAAGGGCGCGGCUCAACCGCGCCCCGCAGUUGAAACUGGGCGCCUUGAGUUCACAACAGGCAGGCGGAAUUCGUGGUGUAGCGGUGAAAUGCAUAGAUAUGACGAGGAACCCCGAUUGCGAAGGCAGCCUGCCGGGGUGCGACUGACGCUGAGGCUCGAAGGUGCGGGUAUCAAACAGGAUUAGAUACCCGAGUAGUC